RNAcentral lists this long non-coding RNA (300 nucleotides) under Rattus norvegicus (Norway rat). Its description in RNAcentral is "long non-coding RNA NONRATT013687". Lineage: Eukaryota; Metazoa; Chordata; Mammalia; Rodentia; Muridae. The record is from RNAcentral.
GAUCCGCUGGCUCCUGACAGGAUGGCUUCCCUUCGCCUGUUCCUCCUCUGCCUCGCUGGACUGAUAUUUGCGUCUGAAGCUGGCCCUGGGGUGAGUGGUCCUGGUGCUGGAGAAUCCAAGUGUCCUCUGAUGGUCAAAGUCCUGGAUGCUGUCCGAGGCAGCCCUGCUGUCGAUGUGGCCGUGAAAGUGUUCAAAAAGACUGCAGACGGAAGCUGGGAGCCGUUUGCCUCUGGGAAGACCGCCGAGUCUGGAGAGCUGCACGGGCUCACCACAGAUGAGAAGUUCACGGAAGGGGUGUAC